AAUUCUCAACCCUCUUAUCCUUGUGGUGAGAUUGGGUUGGAUUUGGAGGUUUAUGCUGGCUUGUAAUGAGUCGGCUCCUCUUGAAUGCAUUAGCUUGGACCUUUGCGGAUCAGCUUUUCGGUGUGAUAAUUGUCUACGCCGUGGGCUGUGAUGCUGUUUAACAUGCUUCGGCGUGUUGGGGUUCUGCUUCUAAUGGUCCCUUUGGUGGGACAACUUACUUUGAC
RNAcentral lists this unclassified non-coding RNA (224 nucleotides) under Rhodonia placenta. Its description in RNAcentral is "Postia placenta partial internal transcribed spacer 2". The record is from RNAcentral. Lineage: Eukaryota; Fungi; Basidiomycota; Agaricomycetes; Polyporales; Adustoporiaceae.